CAGAGUUGCAAAACUCCCACAAACCAUCGCGAAUCUUACCCGUACGGUCGCCUCGGCGCUGGCGGUCCGGAAGGCCCUCGGGCCCCCCGGAUCCUCGGGUCCCCCGCUCGCGGGAGGCUGCCCGCCGGAGUGCCGAAACCAAACUCUUGAUAUUUUAUGUCUCUCUGAGUAAACUUUUAAAUAAGUCA
This 188-nucleotide unclassified non-coding RNA is filed under the name soil metagenome. RNAcentral's name for it is "partial internal transcribed spacer 1". The record is from RNAcentral.